Erinaceus europaeus (western European hedgehog) is the source of this 323-nucleotide unclassified non-coding RNA. Its record names the gene 7SK. It matches the Rfam family "7SK RNA". Rfam says of the family: 7SK was discovered as an abundant small nuclear RNA in the mid-70s but a possible function has only recently been suggested. Two independent studies have found that 7SK RNA binds the CDK9/cyclin T complex (known as elongation factor P-TEFb). The record is from Ensembl. Lineage: Eukaryota; Metazoa; Chordata; Mammalia; Eulipotyphla; Erinaceidae.
AGAUGUGAGGGCGAUCUGGCUGUGACAUCUGUCACUCCCUGAUCACCAGGGUUGAUUCUGCUGGUCUGGCUCGUUAGAUGAGUGCUCCCUUCCUCCCUCACUGAUCCACAUCAUGUGUGUCCCUCCCAAAGCUGCAAGCUCGGUUGAAAAGGAAAGCCUUCCCUGAAUGGAGGUGAACCAGUCUUCGGUUGAGAGUAGCGGCACUCAAUCUGCUAGAACCUUCGACCAAGCUCUCAAGAAGAACACAUUCAACUGAUUCUGUUUUAGAAAUGUCAGGGGAAAAAAAAAACCUUGCAUGUGGGGUAGGGGAGCUAUCGCAGCAU